UAACUCAUCACUAAGGCUGGGUCCGUGCCAGGCUCCAGAAGGAGGUUGCACAGCCGGGAGGUCUGCUCCAGACUUCAUGACUCAACAGGAAGGUCCUCUGCAACCCUCCUCCCUCUGGUUCCUGGAGGAGCUGCUUGAGCCCCAUCGCUGAAGAAGUCCGCUCUUGGCCCCAGUGGCUGGAUCAGAGAGAGAUGUCUGACUUUAAUGGACCCCUUCCUUCUUCCCUGCCUUGUACCACCCUGUGAGCCAUCUUGGCACGAUGGGAGGCAGGCCUCACCUCUCAGUGUCCUGCACCCGGGAGACAUGAGCCCCCCCCAGCAGCUGCAGAGCCGCCGGAGCAGCCCCCUGUGCCCACCCCCUCGGUGCUGAUAGCUGCCCUGCUGCAGCUGUACACGGCCCUCCAGAGCUGUGCUUGGAGAUGUUAUUCAGUGGAGUUUUCCAGCUCUCGG
RNAcentral lists this long non-coding RNA (449 nucleotides) under Numida meleagris (helmeted guineafowl). RNAcentral describes it as "lncRNA (ENSNMEG00000011644.1)". The record is from RNAcentral. Lineage: Eukaryota; Metazoa; Chordata; Aves; Galliformes; Numididae.